GAUGAAGAACGUAGCGAAAUGCGACAAGUAAUGCGAAUUGCAGAAUUCAGUGAAUCAUCGAAUCUUUGAACGCACAUUGCGCCCGCCAGUAUUCUGGCGGGCAUGCCUGUCUGAGCGUCGUUUCGACCCUCGCGCCCGGCUUCUGUCGGGGGCGGUGUUGGGGAUCGGCCACACCCUUCAGUGGGAGGCCGGCCCCUAAAUUCAGUGGCGACCACGCUGUAGCCUCCCCUGCGUAGUACUAAAACCACCUCGCAGGCGGAGAGCGGUGCGGCCCGCCGUAAAACCCCCCAACUUUUACAAGGUCGACCUCAGAUCAGGUAGGAAUACCCGCUGAACUUAAGCAUAUCAAUAAGCGGAGGA
This 360-nucleotide unclassified non-coding RNA is filed under the name soil metagenome. Its description in RNAcentral is "partial contains 5.8S ribosomal RNA, internal transcribed spacer 2, and large subunit ribosomal RNA". The stretch from base 1 to 120 matches the Rfam family "5.8S ribosomal RNA", at positions 35 to 154 of the family's 154-position model. The record is from RNAcentral.